RNAcentral lists this non-coding RNA (85 nucleotides) under Alicyclobacillus sp. RNAcentral describes it as "c-di-GMP sequence". It matches the Rfam family "c-di-GMP-I riboswitch aptamer". Rfam says of the family: GEMM was predicted in a large-scale screen for bacterial structured RNA regulatory elements. Genes associated with GEMM are involved in a diverse array of functions, including chemotaxis regulation, signal transduction, secretion and chitin. Lineage: Bacteria; Bacillati; Bacillota; Bacilli; Caryophanales; Alicyclobacillaceae. RNAcentral also lists the same sequence under 1 other name. The record is from RNAcentral.
CGAUGCUCAGGGCAAACCAGUAGAAAUGCUGGGACGCAAAGCUUCGGGUCUACGGGUUAAUACCUAUGAUAGCCGGGCUGCCAUG